CUACGGGGUGCUCCAGUGGGGAAUAUUGGACAAUGGGGGAAACCCUGAUCCAGCAAUGCCGCGUGUGUGAAGAAGGCCUGCGGGUUGUAAAGCACUUUCGGUUGGGAGGACUGCUUCUAGCACUAAUAUUGUUGGAAGUUGACGUUACCUUCAGAAGAAGCACCGGCUAACUCCGUGCCAGCAGCCGCGGUAAUACGGAGGGUGCAAGCGUUAAUCGGAAUUACUGGGCGUAAAGCGCGCGUAGGCGGCUAGAUCAGUCGGGUGUGAAAGCCCCGGGCUUAACCGGGGAACUGCAUCCGAAAAGGUCCAGCUUGGGGACAGGAGGGGGAGAGGGAAUUCCACAUGGAGGGGGGAAAUGGGUAGAUAUGUGGAGGAACACCAAUGGCGAAGGCAGCUUUCUGGGCUUAUACUGACGCUGAGGGGCGAAAGCGUGGGGAUCAAACAGGAUUAGAUACCCGCGUAGUC
This 465-nucleotide ribosomal RNA is filed under the name uncultured bacterium. RNAcentral's name for it is "partial 16S ribosomal RNA". It matches the Rfam family "Bacterial small subunit ribosomal RNA", at positions 339 to 795 of the family's 1533-position model. The record is from RNAcentral.